GUUAUCCGGAAUCACUGGGCGUAAAGCGUCUGUAGGUGGUUUAGUAAGUCAACUGUUAAAUCUUGAAGCUCAACUUCAAAAUCGCAGUCGAAACUAUUAGACUAGAGUAUAGUAGGGGUAAAGGGAAUUUCCAGUGGAGCGGUGAAAUGCGUAGAGAUUGGAAAGAACACCGAUGGCGAAGGCACUUUACUGGGCUAUUACUGACACUCAGAGACGAAAGCUAGGGUAGCAAAUGGGAUUAGAUACCCCAGUAGUCCUAGCUGUAAACAAUGGAUACUAGAUGUUGGGCAGAUCGACCUGUUCAGUAUUAAAGCUAACGCGUUAAGUAUCCCGCCUGGGAAGUAUGCGUGCAAGCGUGAAACUCAAAGGAAUUGACGGGGGCCCGCACAAGCGGUGGAGCAUGUGGUUUAAUUCGAUGCAACGCGAAGAACCUUACCAGGGUUUGACAUGAUACGAAUUUUCUUGAAAGAGAAAAGUGCCGUUUGGAACGUAUACACAGGUGGUGCAUGGCUGUCGUCAGCUCGCGUCGUGAGAUGUUGGGUUAAGUCCCGCAACGAGCGCAACCCUUAUUUUUAGUUGCCUUUUAUGGAACUCUAGAAAGACUGCUGGUUAUAAACCGGAGGAAGGCGGGGAUGACGUCAAGUCAGCAUGCCCCUUACACCCUGGGCUACACACGUGCUACAUUGGGCGAGACAAUGAGAUGCAAACCUGCGAAGGCUAGCUAAUCUAAAAACUCGUUCUAAGUUCG
RNAcentral lists this ribosomal RNA (748 nucleotides) under Elphidium williamsoni. Its description in RNAcentral is "SSU rRNA". It matches the Rfam family "Bacterial small subunit ribosomal RNA", at positions 540 to 1295 of the family's 1533-position model. Lineage: Eukaryota; Foraminifera; Rotaliida; Elphidiidae. The record is from RNAcentral.